This 182-nucleotide non-coding RNA is filed under the name Streptomyces hygroscopicus. The record is from RNAcentral. Lineage: Bacteria; Bacillati; Actinomycetota; Actinomycetes; Kitasatosporales; Streptomycetaceae.
CUACGGUGGGCGGGCCGUGGUGUUCGGGAAGUCGAUGGAAGGUCGACGCGGCCCUCGCCACUGUGAUCGGGGAGUUCCCGUUCCGUCCGGCACCGCCGGGCCACUGGUCGCAGACCGGGAAGGCAGGGACGGCGGACGUACGACCCGUAAGCCAGGAGACCGGCCACGGCAGCUCACGAAGU